RNAcentral lists this ribosomal RNA (497 nucleotides) under uncultured bacterium. RNAcentral's name for it is "partial 16S ribosomal RNA". It matches the Rfam family "Bacterial small subunit ribosomal RNA", at positions 28 to 507 of the family's 1533-position model. The record is from RNAcentral.
GAUGAACGCUGGCGGCGUGCCUAAUACAUGCAAGUCGAGCGAACAGACGAGGAGCUUGCUCCUCUGACGUUAGCGGCGGACGGGUGAGUAACACGUGGAUAACCUACCUAUAAGACUGGGAUAACUUCGGGAAACCGGAGCUAAUACCGGAUAAUAUAUUGAACCGCAUGGUUCAAUAGUGAAAGACGGUUUUGCUGUCACUUAUAGAUGGAUCCGCGCCGCAUUAGCUAGUUGGUAAGGUAACGGCUUACCAAGGCAACGAUGCGUAGCCGACCUGAGAGGGUGAUCGGCCACACUGGAACUGAGACACGGUCCAGACUCCUACGGGAGGCAGCAGUAGGGAAUCUUCCGCAAUGGGCGCAAGCCUGACGGAGCAACGCCGCGUGAGUGAUGAAGGUCUUCGGAUCGUAAACCUCUGUUAUUAGGGAAGAACAAAUGUGUAAGUAACUAUGCACGUCUUGACGGUACCUAAUCAGAAAGCCACGGCUAACUACGUG